This 1278-nucleotide long non-coding RNA is filed under the name Homo sapiens (human). Its description in RNAcentral is "HSALNT0327114". The record is from RNAcentral. Lineage: Eukaryota; Metazoa; Chordata; Mammalia; Primates; Hominidae.
AGGGAUGGGGCAUCCUGAGAGCCAAACUGCCAUUAUUGUUAUUUCUGUUCUGGAUUUAGCCACUCAGCGGAGCUACUGGGCUCCAGGCCGGUACUGGGGAAUAUCUGCAAAGAGUCCUGUGAUGUUAUCCGUCUUCAGGUCUUUCAGCCAUGGAUACAAGCACCUGCUCUGGUGGAGGUAGCAGGGAACUGAAGUAGACUCUGUGAGGGGUCCGUGGUUGUAUUUUUAAGUGCACUGAUUUUGUGUUGGCUGGCCUCCAGCCAAAAGGUAGCACUUUCAAAAGUGCAUCAGCUGCAGUAGUAUAGGGAGGAUACAAGCUUGCCCAAGUAUCAGGUGGUGGGCAGGGCUAUAGAGCUCCCAAGAGAUUAUGUCCUUUGUCUCCAGCUACCAGGGUGGGUGGAGAAAGAUCAUCACGUUGAGGCGGGGUUAGGCUGUCUGAGUUCAGACUCUCCUUGGGUGGAGCUUGCUGCAGCUGCUGUGGGGGAUGGAGUUGUGGUUUCCCAGGCCAGUGGAGUUAUGGUCCCAGAGGGAUUAUGGCUGCCACUGCUGCAUCACACAGGUUGCCAGGAAAGUGGGGGAAACCCGGCAACCACAGGCCUCACCCGUCUCCCAUGCAGCCCAAAAGUCCAGUCUCACUCCCACCAUGUCCCCGCAAACAGCACUGAAUUUAUUUCCAGGCAACCAGUGAGCAAGGCUGAGAACUUGUCCCAGGUUACGAGACUCCCAGGUACAGUCAUGUGCCGCAUAAUGACAUUCAGUCAAUGACAGACUGCAUAUAUGAGGUGGUCCUGUAAGGUGAUAAUGGAGCUGAAAAAUUCCUACUACUGAACGACAUCAUAGCCAUUGUAACAUCAUAGCACAACCAAUCACCUUUUCUAUAUUUAGGUACAACACUGAAGGCACCGCCCAUGAAAGAAACAACUGAUAGGCUGAACUCCAUUAAAAUUAAAAGCUUUUGCUCUGCAAAUACAAGAGAAUGAGAACACAAACCGUGAUGCUGAAGUUACAAGUCUGAACCACACGUAGACUAUCAUAGCAAGAUGGCUACAGAAGUUCUGGAAAUAUACCAGACGUGGCAAUGCUGCAGAGGAAGGAGGGAGAAUAUGCCUUUCUGCAGAUCUUUCUUGGAGGAGAGAUAAGGAGUUCAUAUGCUGGAAUGAUAGUGACACAGGAGUUUAACACUCCUACAGUAUCCAGAGCCUGGAUCCCUGAGUCAUCAGAUGGAGAAGAACUACUCAGGAGAGUCAUCCAACCUUCAUAGACAGUGGCAUGAGUGGG